This 253-nucleotide ribosomal RNA is filed under the name uncultured bacterium. Its description in RNAcentral is "partial 16S ribosomal RNA". It matches the Rfam family "Bacterial small subunit ribosomal RNA", at positions 524 to 776 of the family's 1533-position model. The record is from RNAcentral.
UACGAAAGGGGCUAGCGUUGUUCGGAAUUACUGGGCGUAAAGCGCACGUAGGCGGCACUGUAAGUUGGGGGUGAAAUCCCGGAGCUCAACUCCGGAACUGCCUUCAAGACUGCAGAGCUGGAGGAUGCGAGAGGUGAGUGGAAUUCCGAGUGUAGAGGUGAAAUUCGUAGAUAUUCGGAAGAACACCAGUGGCGAAGGCGGCUCACUGGAGCAUUUCUGACGCUGAGGUGCGAAAGCGUUGGGAGCGAACAGG